This is a long non-coding RNA of Arabidopsis lyrata subsp. lyrata, 1671 nucleotides long. RefSeq lists it as uncharacterized. Lineage: Eukaryota; Viridiplantae; Streptophyta; Magnoliopsida; Brassicales; Brassicaceae. The record is from RefSeq and is a predicted model, not a curated record. The transcript has 2 exons.
CGGAAAAAAAGUUGAGAAAAAAAGGAAAACGAACGGUAUGUCGUAGACGUAAAGGAGAACCCCGUUGAAUUUCCUUUUGACAUUUUUUUUUUUGAAGCUAGAAGCAGAGAAAACAAAAAAAUCCCUAGAAAAUUUAUUGGGUUUCGCUUAUAUCAUUAGGACUUUGGAAAAGUAAGAAUUUUAUUGAGAGAGAAGAAAGAUUGCGUUAUCCUUUAAUCCCCUAUUAUUUACUUGUUUUCCCGAGAACACUCAUUGAGUUUCUUCUAUUUUCAUUGUUUCUUCCACGUUUUCUCCAGUCUCUCUUUCUUCACUGUUUUUCUGUUCAUAGUUGUUAGAUCUUAUGUCUUUUCAAAUCCGAAUCUUAAACUUGAUCUCUUCUCUCAUUUGAUUAAACCCAUCCAGCAAAAAUUCCACCUCUCGAGACACGAUUGUUGUUCGAUCUUCUCCGUAGCUUUGUGACAACAGAAUCUAGGGUUUCGUUUUUUUAUUUUUUGUAUUUUUCUUUUAUUCUUUUAUUUAAGUCUUGGUUCAUAAAUUUUCCUGCUACAAACAACAACUGUACAUCACCAUCAUUAAGAGAAACCCAUCUGCCUCUUUCUCAAUCUCAUAAAUAUUCUCACCGUUCGCUUCUCAUCUAAAUGUUCUCUCUGUAGCUUUUCUCUCUACAGAUAACCCUUUUUGCUCCUUAAUGUGUGAGUACCUCUCAAUAUUACAUUCGACAGAAAGGAAAUGAGUGAAGUUUUUGGGAUCUUUAAUCUUUUUUGAUCAUGCGGGUUUGACAAAAGAGUCUCUUACAGAGAUCUUUGGCAUUCUGUCCACCUCCUCUCUCUAUAUGUAUAUGUAUGAGCGCUGUCUUGUGAGGGGAGGUGGACAUAUUGCCAACAGAGAUCUGUUAGGGUUUCUUUGUAAAACCCCUCAUGAUUUGAUAUUUUCAAGAUAUGAGACGUUGGCUCUUGGUGAUCAAGAUUAUUUGUUGAAUUCUAAGAUCUAAUUCUGAAGAAAACCGGGUUUUAUGCUUUCUUUGAUCGAGACUCUAAUCCGAUGGUGGUUUCAAAGAUGGAUCACAUUCACAUUUGAUUGUAAGAAGUUCUCAACAUCUUUUAAUUUGCAACGGCGUUGACAAAUGUGAGAUUUCAGAGUGGUGGCGUUUGAGACGUUUACAUCAUCUAGGAAAGGUAAAUUAUGCAUAAAGAAAGAGGACCCAUUACUCCAUAUAAAGGCACAGGUAAAUUGAAAUCAUAGGAGAAUAUGGUAAUGAAAAGGAGAAUUUACUCUUCCCUUUUUCUUUUUUUUUAAUAACUUACUCUUCCCUUUCUAUGUUUGUGAAGCCCACACAAUGUUAUUUAUUAUGAUGUCUUGUUUUCUUUUAAGUUGGAAUCUAUAUAUAUAGGCUAUUAGCAAGUGAUUUUUUUUUUGUUUAUAUAUUAUCUGAUGAGAUUUGUUUAAUCUGAUAAAUGGUUGGAGAAAUAUCAAGUUCAAUCUUAAAGUAGAUGUAGUAUUUUCUUAGGCUUUAUUAUGAUGUUUCUUUUGUUAAAGUCGGAUUGUGUAUAUAUAAUAAUAUAUACUCAUGUAUAGUCGCAUGUUUCUAUAUGAUGUCUUGAUGUAUGCAUGUAUUCUAACUUCAGGACUUUCAAUUGAGGUAUGAAUGCCGAGAUAUGACGAUUCCGACAA